UACAGAGGUCUCGAGCGUUGUUCGGAUUCAUUGGGCGUAAAGUGUGCGCAGGCGGCCGCGCAAGUCGAGUGUGAAAGCCCCGGGCUUAACUUGGGAAUUGCGCUCGAAACUACGUGGCUGGAGUAUGGCAGAGGAAGGUGGAAUUCCACGUGUAGCGGUGAAAUGCGUAGAGAUGUGGAGGAACACCGAUGGCGAAGGCAGCCUUCUGGGCCAAUACUGACGCUCAUGCACGAAAGCGUGGGGAGCAAACAGG
RNAcentral lists this ribosomal RNA (253 nucleotides) under uncultured bacterium. Its description in RNAcentral is "partial 16S ribosomal RNA". It matches the Rfam family "Bacterial small subunit ribosomal RNA", at positions 524 to 776 of the family's 1533-position model. The record is from RNAcentral.